GAAAAAUUUAGUUANGUUAUACCAUUAGUUNGUCAUACUAAAA
RNAcentral lists this transfer RNA (43 nucleotides) under Nicrophorus obscurus. Its description in RNAcentral is "partial tRNA-Asn". Lineage: Eukaryota; Metazoa; Arthropoda; Insecta; Coleoptera; Silphidae. The record is from RNAcentral.